AAUAGAUACCCGGGUAGUCCACGCCGUAAACGAUGAGUGCUAAGUGUUAGGGGGUUUCCGCCCCUUAGUGCUGCAGCUAACGCAUUAAGCACUCCGCCUGGGGAGUACGGUCGCAAGACUGAAACUCAAAGGAAUUGACGGGGGCCCGCACAAGCGGUGGAGCAUGUGGUUUAAUUCGAAGCAACGCGAAGAACCUUACCAGGUCUUGACAUCCCGCUGACCGCUAUGGAGACAUAGCCUUCCCUUCGGGGACAGCGGUGACAGGUGGUGCAUGGUUGUCGUCAGCUCGUGUCGUGAGAUGUUGGGUUAAGUCCCGCAACGAGCGCAACCCUUGAGAUUAGUUGCCAUCAUUCAGUUGGGCACUCUAAUCUGACUGCCGGUGAUAAACCGGAGGAAGGUGGGGAUGACGUCAAAUCAUCAUGCCCCUUAUGACCUGGGCUACACACGUGCUACAAUGGACGGUACAAACGGGUUGCCAACCCGGCGAGGGGGGAGCCGAAUCCCGAUAAAACCCGUUCUCAGUUCGGAUUGUAGG
Molecule: ribosomal RNA, 535 nt
Filed under: uncultured bacterium
Lineage: Bacteria
Description: bacterial SSU rRNA
Rfam family: Bacterial small subunit ribosomal RNA
Source: RNAcentral